GCUUUUGUGGCGUUUACGUUUAGCAGUGAAAAUCUUCUCUUCACACAUCACCAAGGAGCCAACGGACAUUGGACGGUUUUUUUCCUUCCAUUCCUGACAUCCCAUUCACCCACAGAUUUUCUCUCAUUUUCUCGUCUGAGCUUCUCCUGUGAAACCCGGAGCCUCUUCUCGAGAAUUCAUUUCCCAGAUAAGUCUCUCUCUCUCUCUCUCUCUCUCUCUCUCUCUCUCUCUCUCUUUCUCACCAAAAUCUUGUUUUUCUGCUGAAAAAAGAACGACAAUUUUGGUUUUGCAAAGCGUCAGUUGCUUCUCUCUGAAUUGGGAUUUGUUUAUUAUUGGAUGGGCAGUAACAAAUCCUGAUUUAGAGGGAAGGGAAUUCGUAUUCUGAGUUUGUGGUGUCUUGAAAUUUUGCUGAAAGAAAUUCCAGUUGAGCUUCAAGGGAGUAGCUCCAGAUUUUGAACUUCUUUCAUAGCAAUUCAGCCCACAAUAGGAGGUCUUGGGUGGAAUUCGUUUCUGGGAAAAGAGAUUUACUUCUGGUAUGCUUGUCUUUUUCUGAUUUGUUGUAUUAAUACACGAUUGAAUUGUGAGGAUCUGUUUUCAAAGUGUACUUAUUGGAAACUAGAAGUUUAGAGUUCUUUGGAAUUAUUCUGGUCACCUUUUAAAGGUUUUGUAUUGAGUUGUCUUUUGGGCUUGGAUUGCUUUUUCUCGUUUAAAGGACUUGGUUGCAAUAAGUUGUUGGUUUUCUUGUUUACUUAAUUGGAUCAGCUACUUGGUUUUUGAGCAUUCAGGCCUGUAGUUAGAUUAGGUAUUAGUUUUCAUUCUGGCUCAAACAUUUUUUAUGAAUUGUUGAGUGCAUGAUGGGGAAGCAAGGUGGAAAAAAGAAGAAGAGUGCAGGAGAAAAAUCAGGUGAGGCUCCAAAUCAAAGCAAAACUGGGGAUAAUAGCCCAAAAGCCUAUGAUAAGGACACAGCAGUUUUCAUUUCAAUGUCUCAAGAACUGAAGGACGAGGGGAACAAGUUGUUUCAGAAGAGGGACCAUGAAGGAGCUAUGUUGAAAUAUGAGAAAGCCCUCAAGUUGCUUCCGCGAAAUCAUAUCGAUGUAUCCUAUCUUAGGAGUAACAUGGCGGCUUGCUAUAUGCAGAUGGGGCUGAGUGACUACCCCAAGGCUAUCAAUGAGUGUAAUUUGGCUCUUGAAGUCACACCUAAGUACAGUAAGGCGCUGUUGAAGCGGGCCAAGUGUUAUGAGGCUUUGAAUAGGUUGGAUUUGGCUCUGAGAGAUGUUGGUACUGUUUUGAGCAUGGAGCCAAACAAUAUCACGGCAACAGAGGUUGCAGAAAGAGUGAAAAGUGUACUUGAGAAGAAGGGAUUGAGGGUGAAUGACACAGUAAUUGAGCUGCCUCCAGAUUAUGUUGAACCAACUCAUGCUUUACUACCAGGGAAAGUAAUGAAAUUGAAGAAUCGGAAAAAGAAGGGCAACAAAGAUGAAGAGAAGAAGGCUGAAGAAAAUAUUGACGAGAAGACCGAGGACAAGAUUGAGGAAAAGAAGGCUGUGGACAUAGCUGAGGAAGUGAAGGCUGUGGAAAUAGCUGAAGAAAAGAAGGCUGUGGAAAUAGCUGAGGAAAAGAAGGCAGAGGUCAAGGUAGUUGUGGAGGAGAAAAUCAGUAGUCCCAAGGAAGAAGUGCCUAAAAGAAGUGUGAAAUUGGUAUUUGGAGAGGAUAUAAGAUGGGCUCAGUUGCCAGUUAAUUGCACCCUCCUGCAACUGAGAGAGGUAGUCCGUGAUCGGUUUCCUAGCUCAAGAGCAGUUCUUAUCAAAUAUAGAGACCAAGAAGGUGAUUUGGUUACAAUCACUAGUAAUGAAGAGCUGAGGUGGGCUGAAGGAUCAGCAGAAUCGGAAGGCUCUGUCAGGCUUUACGUGGUGGAAGUUAACCCUGAGCAGGAUCCAUUCUUUGAGAAACUGGAAAUUGAAGCACACAAGCUUGAUGUACAGCAAAAUAAUGUAGCUGAGAAUGGUAGCGUGGUAAAACAGAAGGAUAUGAAGGGGUCACCUUGCGUUGAGGAUUGGAUAAUCCAUUUUGCUCAGCUGUUCAAGAACAAUGCUGGGAUUGAAUCUGAUGCAUACUUGGAUCUUCAUGAACUUGGAGUGAAGCUUUAUUCUGAGGCUAUGGAGGAGACAGUUACAAGUGAAGAAGCCCAAGACCUUUUUGACAUAGCAGGAGAGAAGUUUCAAGAAAUGGGAGCUUUAGCAUUGUUCAACUGGGGAAAUGUUCACAUGGCCAGGGCAAGGAAGAAGGUGUAUUUCACAGAAGAUUCUUCAAAAGAAUCAAUCAUUUCAAAUAUCCAAAGUGCAUAUGAUUGGGCACAAAAAGAAUACAUAGAAGCAGGAAGGAGAUAUGAAGAAGCGCUGCAGAUAAAACCAGACUUCUAUGAAGGCUAUCUGGCCCUUGGGCAGCAGCAGUUUGAACAGGCAAAACUUUCUUGGUAUUAUGCAAUUAGCAGCAAUGCUGAUUUGGAGACGUGGCCUUCUACAGAGGUUCUACGACUUUAUAACUAUGCUGAAGACAAUAUGGAAAAAGGCAUGCAGCUGUGGGAGGAAUUGGAAGAGCAACGUCUCAGUGAACUCUCCAGUCCAAGUAGUGUUAAAUCCCAGUUGCAGAAAAUGGGUUUGGAUGGAAUUUUUAGAGACAUAUCAGAACAUGAAGCUGCAGACCAGGCUACAAGCAUGAGGUGUCAGAUAAAUCUCCUAUGGGGCACCAUGCUCUAUGAGCGUUCUAUUGUGGAAUUCAAAUUAGGGCUACCUGUAUGGCACGAAUGUUUGGAAGUUGCAGUUGAAAAAUUUGGACUUGCUGGGGCUUCUUCAACAGAUAUAGCUGUGAUGGUUAAAAACCACUCUUCAAAUGAUAAUGCAUUGGAAGGUAUGGGAUUCAAAAUUGAUGAGAUAGUACAAGCAUGGAAUGAGAUGCAUGAAGCAAAAAAGUGGCAGAGUGGAAUUCCAUCAUUCCGGUUGGAGCCAUUACUUCGAAGACGAGCUUCCCGAAUUUAUCAUGCCUUGGAUCAUGCUUGAAAAUUAGCAUUGGAUAGACACACUUUUACUGCCCUAACGCCAUGGAUUGGAGCAUAUAAUCCUGCACAUUGAGGUUUUCUUGCUACUGCCCUGUAAAGUACUUUUCAGGCUUUUAGCCAUGGCCACUUAGUUUUACAAACAGUGGAUAGUUGUGAUUCAAAAUUUGAUUGUGAGUAGUAGCUGUUCAGAAAGCAAAAAAUUUUCAUUCUCUUUUGACGUAAGGGGAUUGGAGGUGAAGUUUCAGUUCUUCAUUUUAGUUAGUUUCUGCCUUCAUCAACAUCGCUUAUCGUUUCUGUCAGAAUAGAUUGUACUUGUAAUUGAAGCGUCUACGAUCCAAUUCCGAAGGCAUGUUCUUGGUUUAUUUAUUUAUUUUGUUUUAUUUUGAUGUAGUUUGAUGUGAGUUUGGGGUGUAAUUUAACAUCUUUUAGUUUGUUGGUGUAGUAGUGUGUUUUAGGGGAAAAACUUGUAUUGGAUUAAUGAGAGACUGUUGUUAUAAACCU
Prunus avium (sweet cherry) is the source of this 3556-nucleotide non-coding RNA. Lineage: Eukaryota; Viridiplantae; Streptophyta; Magnoliopsida; Rosales; Rosaceae. The record is from RefSeq and is a predicted model, not a curated record.